GGGAACGUGGUGUAGUGGUUUGAGUGUUGGACUACGACUCUGGAGACCAGGGUUGGAGUCCUUGCUUGGCCA
Phrynosoma platyrhinos (Desert horned lizard) is the source of this 72-nucleotide non-coding RNA. NCBI's taxonomy places the organism in Eukaryota, Metazoa, Chordata, Lepidosauria, Squamata, Phrynosomatidae. The record is from the annotation of a GenBank genome assembly.